GAUGAAGAACGUAGCGAAAUGCGAUAAGUAGUGUGAAUUGCAGACUUUAGUGAAUCAUCGAAUCUUUGAACGCACAUUGCGCCUUCUAGUAUUCUGGGAGGCAUGCCUGUUUGAGCGUCAUUAAACCUCUCUCAAGUAUGAUUACUUGGAUGUGAAGGAAGAGUACCUUAAACUUAAGGAGUGUUCUCCUUUGAAAUUGAUUAGCAGAUGGUAAUGUUAUUAAAUCCCUGAUGUUGUAAGAAAUAACAGUGGUUUUGUAGACUAUUAUCUAGCUUUAAAUUAUAAUUUUUAUUAUGGUUGACCUCAAAUCAGGUAAGGAUACCCGCUGAACUUAAGCAUAUCAUAAGCGGAGGA
Molecule: unclassified non-coding RNA, 354 nt
Filed under: soil metagenome
Description: partial contains 5.8S ribosomal RNA, internal transcribed spacer 2, and large subunit ribosomal RNA
Rfam family: 5.8S ribosomal RNA (bases 1-120)
Source: RNAcentral